UGUGAAACUCCCAUUGAUUGAUCUGCACACACUCCCCGCUGACCAGAGAAAACACUCGAUAGCGAAUGCGAGAGGGGAUUUAAAUUUGACAAAUAUUGCCCUCGUUCCUUGACGGGAAAGGUAGCUAUCUGUGUUCUCGUGCGGUCCGAGGUAACCUGCUCCUACCGUUGUCUAAAGACUAGCCUAACAUCGAGACAGUGCGACGUUAGCUAGCUCGUAAUGUCGGCACUGUUGGACUUGUUUUCCCCUCUAGACCCCGCUUCCUGUUAGCUCUGGGCUAGCUGGAAAAAUCGAAAUUAUGCUAAUGAACGAGCAGGUAUAGUUAACCAACGCAGAGGGGGGUAACUUUACUACAUAUCAUAUACCAACCGUCGUAAUUUAGUUGGAGUUUAUCCACAAAUAUAUGCUAAUAACUUUGUUUCUCAGCCAGCUAUCAGGGCUGCUGGUUUGCUAACCUACGACAUCAAGCCAUCUUGUGUUGAGGGGUUUAAGUAUUUAACUUAACGAGCUUCUGGUGGCAGAGAGCGAGUGAUAUUAACUUUAGUUGCUCGUUAAUAAAUGCGUCGGUAACGGGCUCGUUCCUAUAGGACUUAAAAAUACUUUAUUUCACUGUGGAGACCCUGACAGUAGACAAUAGAAAACCCGAGACUUGCUCAGCUGUUGUUCUGGGUAACGACGAAAACUUCCAGAAAAUUGUAUUUUGAUAAUUUUUUUGUUAUAUUAGUACAAUAUAUUUUUUUAAUACUUGUGUACGUUCGUAAGUGGUGAAAUAAAAUAACGGUUAAGGAGGGCAGUGAAUGGAUUCGGUGCAGAUGGUGCUCGUGCGACAUAUGAGGGCUGUUUUCAGGUGUCUCGUCUCAUUAUAUUAAAAACAAACGGCUUUAAAUGCCUCAGAAAACACUCGCAGUAGCCGGUGUUCAUCAGAGGUAACUAGGUGGACAGAGAGACGCGUAGAAGCGGUAGAAUAGGGAGGCUCCUGCCCGUUUCUCUCUCCAGCCUACGUCCAUCCACCACCGCCGCCCUCCACAGAUAUGGACCCCCCGAGGACUCGGUCGCGGUCUCGCUCCGGUUUCUAUCAUUUCGGCAUGAGCGGCAACGUUGGAAGCAGCGGCAACGCGCUGGGUAACGGGAGCAUGAUGACCGCCAGCGGAGGAGGAGGGCUGAGCUACGCGCAGCAGAGCAACCCCGGCUGGGCGCCGCACCACCACCACCACCACCACGGUGGUCGGAGCUACCCGGAGAGCCAGCAGCAGCAGCAGCAGCAGCAGCAGCAGCAGCACGCCCAGGGGGGCUACCUAUCCGCGGGGGUGCAGCGCCACCCUUCGCACGGAGCUCACAGACACCCCGGGGCCGGAGGACUGCUUCAUUUUCAUCCAGAUAAUGUUUGCAGCGACGACCGGGACAAGAUGGAAGACAGCCCGAGCCCGAAAAGGCAGCGUCUUUCCCAGCAGGCCAUGUUGGAUCUAAACUCCGCCCCUCCCUCCACUCCUUCCUCUCCCAUUCGCCCCUGGGAGUUGCCUCCCAGUCGCAGACCACACCCCCACUACAUGCCAGAGAGAUGCCACACGCCUGUUCGCAACCGACGCAGCCCUCCAAUGAGACGCCAGCGUGGCCGGAGAGACCGUCUGAUCCGCCACCACCACCACCAUGCCCACAACAACCACCACCACUACAACAACAGCAACAACAACAACCACCACCACCACCACCACCCCAACGCCCACCUCCAUCAUCACCACCAGCACCACCUGCACUCCCACCACGGCUCGUCGCCAGGCCACCAGGACGAGAAUUACCGUCACCCGGCUCCCCCUCAGGGCUACUCACCCUUCAGCCAGCAACCUCCCCGAGGGCUGGGGCCCGGGCUUGAAGAGCGCCCAGGUCACCAUCCCCCAAAUCCCUCACCGAGGCCCCUCCACCAGUCACCCAACCUGUCUCCCAGGCUGCUGCACCCUGUGGCCCAUCCACAGCACCCACAUCCACACCCCCACCCGUCCCAGCAGAGCAGCGUGGUGCUGGACCUCCAUGAGCAGGGUUCGGCUCCGGUAUCAUAUCCCGUGUCUCCUCCGGGAGCGCCACCAGGCCUGCCGCCUCGCUCCACUCCUCAGCAGAUCCCAGCAUGCUCGGUAGUCUUCAGUGGACAGCACUACCCCGUCUGCAGUGUCCCUCCCGUCCUGCAGACUUGUUCUGUGCAGCACUUACCCAUACCCUACCCGUUCCCAUCGUUGCUGUCCAGUGACCCCACCUUCCUGCUCCCCCCUCCUCACCUCCCCCACCCCCCAGCACACCUUUCCCACCACCCACCUCACCUGCCACAGCCCGGACAAUUUGGACCCUAUCCGACGCAGCAGUCCCGAUCGCCGCUACAGAGGAUAGAGAACGACGUGGAGCUCCUUGGAGAGCACCUGUCUCUGGGUGCUGGGCUCCACUAUCCUCCUGCCGCCCACCCGGCCCUCACACCACACUCCGCCCAGCUCCACUUUCUCUCCCAUGACCCCCUUCCACAGGAGUUCUUCGGAGUGUCCUAUCCAAACUUUAUUCCUCGGCGUCUGCCGGGGCGACGGUACCGAUCACAGCAGCCACUGCCACCUUCGCCUUACCACCCCAGCCUCCUGCCUUACUUCCUUUCAAUGCUGCCAGUCCAGCCCACAGGACCUGCGAUCAGUCUAGAGCUGGAUGUAGACGAUGGAGAAGUGGAAAAUUAUGAGGCCCUCCUGAACCUCGCUGAACGUCUGGGAGAGGCAAAACUCCGAGGACUGACCAAGGGAGACAUCGAACAGCUUCCUUCCUAUCGGUUCAAUCCAAAUAACCAUCAGUCUGAACAAACACUGUGUGUGGUGUGUAUGAGUGAUUUUGAAUCCCGCCAACUGCUGCGAGUCCUGCCCUGCAGCCACGAGUUCCACGGGAAGUGUGUCGACAAGUGGCUAAGGGCCAACAGGACGUGUCCCAUUUGUCGGGCUGACGCCUCCGAGGUCCAGAGAGACUCAGAGUGACCACAUGAUGGAGCCAGAUGCUCCUAAAUGUCUGUCAAACACGCUCGGCACUCCCUGCUCCUGAUAUAUUGACCCACAUAUUUUGGUCUGGAGGUGCAGUGACUUCCAGCUGCCACUAGGCGGCGUUACUGUUCUUCUGGACUGCCAUCACGCCACAUCUGCCCAGGUUGUGCCCGUAUGUUCCCCUGAUACACUCUUUGGUUUGCAGGUUGACAGCAUAUCACAUUAUCACAAUUUAACUGCAGGUUGUUAUGCUUGUUAAACAGAACAUGCACAUUCGAGACAGUACACACACACACCCAACACCCCCCUCUCUGGGUUCAUCAUACUCUCGACUGCCACAUAUAUAUGUUACAGUCCUGUAAGUUACUCUGCAGCAUUCCUAAACAAUGUAGUGGAACUAUAAUAAAGACCGUAGUGGACAACUUCUGAACUUCAAGUAUUAUCAGUGAACAUUAAACCUACAAUGCAAUCUAAAUUAAUGUCUACAUACAGUUGGUCCUCCCCUCGCAGCACUCAUCUGUCUCUCCAUAGUCGAUGUGCAGCUGCGUUACAUGACUGCACACAGCUGUCUCUGUAGCAGCACGCACCUGUAGUUGUGUGCCUUCUGUUACUGUACGCACUAAUGCAGCAUCUACAGUCCAAACGGCAGAUGUCAACUCAAGGCUCUGCCGGAUAAAUGGCCACAUUUUUUGCGAGCAACUUGCGUGGUGCUGCUUGAGGCGCAGACAACACAAAUGUCAUUGUUCUUCACUGAGGAGCAUUUACACAGCUUGUUAAGGAACAAUGUGAGAGCGAGGGCACAAGCACCACGGAACGGUUUUCAUUUUCUGUACAUUGAGUCGGUCCCACUGACCUGCAGUGACUUCUGUUAUGAAAGAAUAACAGAAGAGACACCUGUCCAAAGAAUGUUUUGUAGUUCUCGAAGUAAGAGCUUGUAUCAAAUCUUGGUUCACUCUCUGUGAUUGAGGAAGACCACCGGAACAAAAUAGACCAAGAUGAUGAAAAAAAGCUCUAAAAUACUGAACCUAGAGUUGUGGCUGUGCACAAAUGUGGUCACGGCUUCUUUAAUCCUGGUUUGCAGGUGUCACUUUGAGUUCUUUAAAUCCUAGGUCUGACUACUUGCAUUUGUUUUGUAGACACUUAUUUACUUUUAUAUAUUAUUGUUUACUUGAUCUGGACACUACACAUCUUGUACCAGAUGUGACUAAAAGCUCAUUUUAAUCUGUGGUCCCUGUGAAGAGGCCACAAGUGCUGCGCAGGUUACAGAGUUAAAAGAUCAAAAACCUAACACUUUGUAAAAACCAGAUACAAUAAAACACCAAUGGAAACCCGCAACCACCCCGAAACACAAUAUCAGCAAUCCCAAUACUAUCAACAAGAGACGAUUCAUCAGUACAAGAAAUGUCCAACCAGACGCUCAGUACCAGUGUCGGCCACAUACACUGUCUCUGCUGCUAUUUUUAUCACCUUCAUCUGUGUUACAGUGUUGUUGUGGUUGUAAACUGAAAAACAGUUGUCAAACCGCAUGUGACGCAGGUUCAUGCCAUCAACAUCACAAAGUCAGACUUUCUUUAUUUUUGAGUUCAUGUUUAAUUCAAGGAGAAACCUCUUGGCUGAGGACUGAUGACUCACUGUCCUCAUCCGUUUGCUUCCGUUCUCUUUUCAGUUCCCCGUCUUCCACUCCAUCAUCUCUCCCUUUUGCUCUUUUCCCUUUUUUUCUUCUUCUACGACUUCUGUCCGUUCCUUCAGUCUUUGCUCCCCUUCUCUCUCCUGCCCUCCUCCUGUCCCGUUUCUUCUCCUCUGCCUCACCACUCCGUCCUUCCUCUCCUCCUGUCUUUUUUACUUAUGCAUCUUCUAACCCGCCCUCGACCUCUCCGCUGUGAUCACCACCCACUCCUUUAACGCGCUUCCGCUGCAGAAUGGUGAAGUGGAAGUGAUGGGGAAUGUCUGCCUAAAACGGUCCGCACAGUUACUUCACUCAAAUUGGAACAAGUUGUAUUUGUCUCGUCUCGUCUUGCUUUUUCUUUCCCCCUCACCCAUCUUCAAUUUCAUAACCAGGGCUGUACGGGGCCACAAGUUGCCCAGGUUGUUUUAUGUCAGAUGAGCUCCUCUUCAUGUUGUAAAAAAGUGUGGAUGAGGAUCAUUUUCUCUUUCCACAUAAAUAGCCCACUGUUCAUUUAGUGAUAUUGCCACAAACCGCAUCAUCGGUAAAAACAUUCCAGAGUUGUAAAUGUAAACAUUCCAAAUGUUUUCCAUUUUCCGUAAUGUAUUCAGCUCCGACUUCCUCAGGGUCCUUCUACUCCAUAUGUAGCUGUGCUUUGGCCCAUUAUGUCUGUUUACAAUUCAUGGUUGCAUGCGAGUGUGCAUUUA
Molecule: RNA transcript, 5366 nt
Organism: Anarrhichthys ocellatus (wolf-eel)
Lineage: Eukaryota; Metazoa; Chordata; Actinopteri; Perciformes; Anarhichadidae
Gene name: E3 ubiquitin-protein ligase RNF38-like
Exons: 13
Source: RefSeq, a predicted model, not a curated record